This 683-nucleotide unclassified non-coding RNA is filed under the name Hevea brasiliensis (rubber tree). The record is from RNAcentral. Lineage: Eukaryota; Viridiplantae; Streptophyta; Magnoliopsida; Malpighiales; Euphorbiaceae.
CUCCCUACUUUAUGGCCUUUAUAUGUACAGUUGCUCACCAUAGAUCUGCUACUGAGAAUCAGAAAUCUAAAGGACUUGUUGCGCCAACAAGAAGACCAAUUUAUGAAAGAUGUAAGAGGAUUGAAUAUUUCCAUGUCCUGGCCAAACAAGGGCUAAAUCCAUUUAGAACUCUUUACCCCCUAUUCCGUACUCAUUCAAUCAUAUGAGUAAAAGAGUUUUCACUAAACCACCCUCCACCUUAUUGAAAUGAUUUAUCUCAUCUCUCCUUCAUAUGUAUAGUUGCACAUGGCUAGUGGAAAACUGAUAUCUAAAGGACUGGUUGGGCCAACUAGAAGCCUGAUCCAUUGAAGAUGUAAGAGGGUUGAAUCUUUUCCAUGUCCUAGCCCAAAGGAUUACAUCCAUAUAGGGGUUCCAGACCCCCGAUUCCGUACUUAUUCUGCUGUAUGAGAAUUUGCAUACAAUGAAACUUGAACCCCUUAUUCCCUACUCAUUCAGCCAUAUGAGUAAUUGCACGAUGAAACUAACUUCUGGUCCUACCCUUACCAAAAGCCACUUUUCUUAAAUUUUGAAUACAUAUAGAUAUAAAUCCUGAUGACCAAUGACUAGAACCUAUUUCAGAGACGACUCACCAAAAAAUUUCCAUUUGAGAAACCCAGGUAAUUGAAUACUUUCUAAAUUGCCAG